GACGAACGCUGGCGGCGUGCUUAACACAUGCAAGUCGAACGGAAAGGCCCUGCUUUUGUGGGGUGCUCGAGUGGCGAACGGGUGAGUAACACGUGAGUAACCUGCCCUUGACUUUGGGAUAACUUCAGGAAACUGGGGCUAAUACCGGAUAGGAGCUCCUGCUGCAUGGUGGGGGUUGGAAAGUUUCGGCGGUUGGGGAUGGACUCGCGGCUUAUCAGCUCGUUGGUGGGGUAGUGGCUUACCAAGGCUUUGACGGGUAGCCGGCCUGAGAGGGUGACCGGCCACAUUGGGACUGGGAUACGGCCCAGACUCCUACGGGAGGCAGCAGUGGGGAAUAUUGCACAAUGGGCGGAAGCCUGAUGCAGCAACGCCGCGUGCGGGAUGACGGCCUUCGGGUUGUAAACCGCUUUCGCCUGUGACGAAGCGUGAGUGACGGUAAUGGGUAAAGAAGCACCGGCUAACUACGU
RNAcentral lists this ribosomal RNA (467 nucleotides) under uncultured bacterium. Its description in RNAcentral is "partial 16S ribosomal RNA". It matches the Rfam family "Bacterial small subunit ribosomal RNA", at positions 28 to 506 of the family's 1533-position model. The record is from RNAcentral.